GUGAGUCAUCGAAUCUUUGAACGCACUUUGCACCUUUUGGUUAUUCCGAAAGGUACGCCUGUUUGAAUGUCACAAAACUCCCCUCGGCUUUAACACUUUCUAAAAGGGUUAUUGACGGAUUCUGAGUGUUGGCGUGUCAACGCCUCGCUUUAAAUAUAUCAGCACUUUUGGAUGGUUCCAUGUUAGUUCAAAAGACGUACUUGAUGUCGUAUUUAUACAAUUCAUCGAGAUGGUCUUUGGUCGUAUCGACUAUCCGCUAAUAUGAUGACUUGAAGAAUAGCUUCCUAACCCCAUUAAAUUUACCUUUAGACUUCAAAUCAGGUGGGACUACCCGCUGAACUUAA
Molecule: ribosomal RNA, 344 nt
Filed under: uncultured fungus
Lineage: Eukaryota; Fungi
Description: eukaryotic LSU rRNA
Rfam family: 5.8S ribosomal RNA (bases 1-72)
Source: RNAcentral